This 278-nucleotide ribosomal RNA is filed under the name Escherichia coli. RNAcentral's name for it is "partial 16S ribosomal RNA". It matches the Rfam family "Bacterial small subunit ribosomal RNA", at positions 1 to 275 of the family's 1533-position model. Lineage: Bacteria; Pseudomonadati; Pseudomonadota; Gammaproteobacteria; Enterobacterales; Enterobacteriaceae. RNAcentral also lists the same sequence under 2 other names. The record is from RNAcentral.
AAAUUGAAGAGUUUGAUCAUGGCUCAGAUUGAACGCUGGCGGCAGGCCUAACACAUGCAAGUCGAACGGUAACAGGAAACAGCUUGCUGUUUCGCUGACGAGUGGCGGACGGGUGAGUAAUGUCUGGGAAACUGCCUGAUGGAGGGGGAUAACUACUGGAAACGGUAGCUAAUACCGCAUAACGUCGCAAGACCAAAGAGGGGGACCUUCGGGCCUCUUGCCAUCGGAUGUGCCCAGAUGGGAUUAGCUAGUAGGUGGGGUAACGGCUCACCUAGGCG